GCAUGGAGCAUCCCAGAGGCUGUGGACAUUAGGAUCAUACUCGAACUUUCUGAAGGUUUUGUUUGGUCAGAUUCAUGGAGCGGAGGAUGCCUGUUGUUCUUCACAAAGCCCCUGUGAUAUGAUUCUUUUCACCCAAACUUCUUCCAGAGCUCUGGAGAUUUAGUCAAGUCCAGUGUGCUUGAAAAGAUUUUUUUUCUCUUUCCUUUUUCACUUUUGGUGGCGCAAUCCCUGUUGACAGCUUGGCUUUGGAGGGUUUCAUCUUACCAGCAACUGGGCUGCCAUGGGGCUUGGCUUCCCAGUGUGGAGGUGCAGGGGUCUCUGAGCGAGCCCACACAUUCUGCGUCCUUGUCACACUGCUCUACACCCCGGGGUUUUCAGUAAAGGCUCUUUCCUGACAAAUUAAGUCCAAAGGGUGAUGGGAAACACAGUAACCUUUCUCUGUUCUUUUCAUGGUUUCCUGCCAGGAUUUGCUGUUUGGUGACAUGGGAACACUGCACUAAGAUGACUUUUCCGCGAGUUGAUCACUGAUGAUUUUGGCUGUGACACAGAGCAUUAUUAGUAGUGCGACUGACUAACAUGAAUAAUAGUGAUUCUCAUAACAAAAGGAAUGUAGCCACAAUAAGAGAAAAAUCUUAGCCAACAGAAUGAUUUGAGGAAAACGCUAUUGAUAAUGAAAUGGGGCUUAUUGAAUUAACUGUUCCAUUUAGCAGACACAUGAGCAGAACCCAGGAUGGAAGAAUGUAAUCACCAGCGUGACUCCAGUGAUGGAGAUGAACUAGAUGUGGAGACUGGGGAGCAGCAGAGUCAACUCAGUUAUCAUCUUGGCGGCCGGGCUGCCGUCCAGCUCACAGAAGCCACCUGAUCCGGAAAAGAUUUCCAACGCCUGCUGGAGUAAGUUUGGCAGCUGUUUCCAUACAGGCAGAGGCCAGUGUCAUCUCCAGCACCUGGGGGACAUAAGAGAAAGAGCCAGUGGCCUUCCUCCAAGACAAUCUCAGUGUCUUCCCACUCACAGAACCAGGCAACAAAGAAGUCUGUGGCGUCCACAGGAGGGAAACAAAGCAAAACGAAGCGCCGACCAGUGCGGUACUAUUAAUUCAAAUUAAUGACCCUCACCUACAAAUAAAGCUGGUGCCUGGCAGGUCGCUGGCUCUUGGAGAGGUGCAAUGAGAACAAACGUGGCUUUGCCGUCUGGCCAGGCAAUCGAUGCCUCCUGCCUGUCCCUGGCCGCCCCGCACCCACCUCUUACAGACGUUACCUGUCUCCUGUUAAUUCUCCCGUGUCACUCUCCACUUCCCCGGUGGGGGUGGGGGGGCGGUCAAGGGUUGGCCUGGAGGGUGGGCUUAUUUCAUAAGAAAGGCCGAUUGAAAGGGCCCAGAUGCAAAGUCACACUGCUCUGCGGAGCUGGGAGGACACCCCACUGAGAGACGUGUCUGAAAUGGGUGGAGGUCUCUGGGCAUCGCUGGCAGGGGCGGGUGCCUGACUGUCAUUUAGGGACAUUUCUGCCUUGAUCUGUCGCUCUUAUUUAUCUCUGCCAAAAUAAAGAUGUGUUUGAUGAUAAAGACUUCUUUUAUUCAGCCUCUCAGUUACUCCAGCACGGUAGUUAGAGAUGAAUACAAUGUUGCCCUUAAGCUACAACCUGAUCUUCACAGAAACCCUUUGAAGAAGGUAAGUUUAGUUUUACUUUAAGACUGG
Pan paniscus (pygmy chimpanzee) is the source of this 1692-nucleotide long non-coding RNA. Lineage: Eukaryota; Metazoa; Chordata; Mammalia; Primates; Hominidae. The record is from Ensembl.